Molecule: ribosomal RNA, 476 nt
Filed under: uncultured bacterium
Lineage: Bacteria
Description: bacterial SSU rRNA
Rfam family: Bacterial small subunit ribosomal RNA
Source: RNAcentral
CACAUGCAAGUCGAGGGGCGAGCACGGAGUAGCAAUACAACUGGUGGCGACCGGCGCACGGGUGAGUAACGCGUAUGCAACCUACCUAUCAGAGGGGAAGUAACCCGGCGAAAGUCGGACUAAUACCGCAUAAACAGGGGCACCGCAUGGUGAUAUUUGUUAAAGAGAUUCGCUGAUAGAUGGGCAUGCGUUCCAUUAGGUAGUUGGUGAGGUAACGGCUCACCAAGCCGACGAUGGAUAGGGGAACUGAGAGGUUGGUCCCCCACACUGGUACUGAGACACGGACCAGACUCCUACGGGAGGCAGCAGUGAGGAAUAUUGGUCAAUGGGCGGGAGCCUGAACCAGCCAAGUCGCGUGAAGGAAAGAAGGAUCUAUGGUUCGUAAACUUCUUUUGCAGGGGAAUAAAGUGCAGGACGUGUCCUGUUUUGUAUGUACCCUGAGAAUAAGGAUCGGCUAACUCCGUGCCAGCAGCAGC